This 1937-nucleotide long non-coding RNA is filed under the name Coffea arabica (coffee). Its description in RNAcentral is "long non-coding RNA (CARA_LNC007473)". The record is from RNAcentral. Lineage: Eukaryota; Viridiplantae; Streptophyta; Magnoliopsida; Gentianales; Rubiaceae.
UUUAUUCUCAUUGUGCAAUUCAUUGUCUGAUGUCAUUUCUUCAUAUGGUCAAAGGCAAUCCUAAGUCUAGUUUGAGAGUCUACAUUCACAUUGGUGAGUCCCUGGAAAAUGUAUGAGGAGGACAGAUAGAGUUUCUUGAGGCUUAGAGCUCUUGCAGAAGCUGCAUGAAAGAUGAUUCUAGCUGGCUACAGGGAUUUUCACUCAUGAGGUACUUCUCUUUGUGAUGAAGUUAUACUGAUUCAAGAAAAUUUAUUUGAUUUUCACCGCCACUUCUGAUUUAUUCAUGAUUUCAUCAAAUUUUCAUAAUCAAUAGAAUCAAAGAGGUCUUCAUGAUUGCCAUUUAUUUUAAACUUGUAUGAAAUUGUGAAUCCCAUUGUUUACAAGGUAAAUUACAAGGUAAUGAACAGACAGAUGGAUAAGCCAAUACAUGGGAAAACUCCUGGUUGGAUUUUUAAGUCAUCAUAUGUCCUUACUCUUAUAAUCAUGCAUAUACUUCUGAAUCAGCUGCUUUCAUUUUUUGGAGUGUAAUUAUUAUUGCUCUUAACCUAGUGAUGAUCAAAAUGCCUUAUCGCCUUGUUUGUCUCCAUUUAGAUGACAAAUGCUGCAAAUGAGGCUUGUCAGCCCUUUCAAAGAAAUAUAGCCCGAUCGAAUUGAGAAGCAUUUGUCUGAAGGGUUCUAAGUUGGCACAUCUGAAAUGCUUGAGUGGUAACUUUCCUACCAAUCCAUCAGAAGACUCCCUAUAGGGUGUGAAUCUUCUUAUCUGAACGGAAGAUGAUGUCAUGAGGGCAGCUGCGCCAACACUGAGUGGUGUAAGAGUUCAAAGUUUUUUGUACUUUGUGAUUGAUCAUUUUUUAAUUGGAUACGAAGUUGUCACAAUUUGCUCAAAUUCUAAGGAACUCUGGUCUACAGCUGUCUCAUUCCUUGUUUAACUGAUCUUUAGAUAUAGGCUCUGAGGAGAUUUCACAUGGCCUCUUGUACAUAUCAUAUAUUUAUCAGUUUAUCAUCUGCUUCAGUUUAAAUUAUGCUUCAGAUCACUCAACUCUGUGCUACAUACUCUGCCUGAGUAUAUUUCGUAGAUUUGAAAAAUCUAUUUGGAGUUGGGACUUUCUUGGAUUAUACACUGGGACUGCUUGCUAGAAUGAUUUUGACACUUACUCUGCAGUUUCCCCUCCACAAUAACUUGUCUGCAAUAUGAUCUAAAUGAUGAGUUGGAUUUGCAAUAUUUCAGUGUCAAUUGUAUUCUGUAUGUUUCUCAGUCAGGAGGGAAUUGUUGCACAUAAGUGGGGAUUGCUUUCACAAUAACUAGUCAUGGUCAUAGAGAUUUGUAGAUACUCCUUUUGCUCUUUUUUUUUUUUGGAUCCCAAUUCUUUUUGAAAUUCUAAAUUCUCUCACCUCAAGUGAAAUAAGGAAUAUAUCUAGGAAAAAAGAUCAUUGGAAGUACCUUUUAUUUUAGGAUUACUCUUUUAAAGAUCAUUCAAGGGUCAUUAGUAUCACUUGAAAUUAAUAUUGUAAUCUAAUCUUUAUUGUGCCUCUGUUAUCCCUUUGACUUGCUGAAAUGGGCAUGGUCACAAUGAGAUCUUAUCUGGCUAGGAACACUUAAAAUGUAGUAUUACUAACAUUUUAGUACUCGUGCAAAGGCCCAAAUCCUGUAUUAUAUUAUUCAGCAUGUGUGUUAAGUUGCAGUUCUACAAUCAUAUGCAUAAUUAUUUUAAAAGAAAAUUUACUGAAGUUCAUGCUUACGUUUGUUGACUGAACAAUUACAUGAAAAUAUUUUUUUAAAAAAAAUAGAUGGGGAUUGAUUUUUUUUUUUUUUGGCUUCUAGGAAGGAUGCUCAUAAUGCUCAAGAUCAUUGGUUUUAAUAUAAUUCUUUCCUUGGGUGGUCAAAUAAAAUGAUAAGUUUACUUCUUCCAAACUUUCAAUGUUCAAGAAUUGAGAUU